This is a non-coding RNA of Parelaphostrongylus tenuis, 71 nucleotides long. NCBI's taxonomy places the organism in Eukaryota, Metazoa, Nematoda, Chromadorea, Rhabditida, Metastrongylidae. The record is from the annotation of a GenBank genome assembly.
GCCUCGGUGGUGUAGUGGCAGCACGCACCCCCGGUAUGGAUAAAACGCGGAUUCAACUCUCGCCUAAGGUA